This 201-nucleotide ribosomal RNA is filed under the name uncultured bacterium. Its description in RNAcentral is "partial 16S ribosomal RNA". It matches the Rfam family "Bacterial small subunit ribosomal RNA", at positions 32 to 214 of the family's 1533-position model. The record is from RNAcentral.
AAUCAACGCUGGCGGCGUGCCUAACACAUGCAAGUCGAACGCGAAAGCGUCUUCGGACGUGAGUAGAGUGGCGUCCGGGUGAGUAACACGUAGGUAAUCUAACCUUCGGGUGGGGAAUAACGCCUCGAAAGAGGCGCUAAUACCGCAUAACGCAGCGGCAGCUAAUGCUGAUUAGUUGUUAAAGCGGGGGACCGAGAGAUC